CACCACCCAAUGCAGUGUGGCUUAGCUGCGUCGGGAACCAACAAAUGAAGCUGAUCAAAGGCUCAAAGGAGAACCGAACCAUAUUCGGAGUGCUCAAUGGUUUCUUCUGAAAUACCACAGAUGGGAGUUGUCAUGGGACAGAGAAGAGAACUGGUAACUUUUCUUCUGUUAAGAUUAUACAAGGUAGAUUCCACAUGAAAUGUUUUAUUUUCCGUAGAGUUUGUAGCUUCCAUAACUGUUUGUGCCAAUUAGUAUCCAUUAAGUAAUCUCAAUGGUUGGGAUGUUGUUGACUUGUUGUGUUCAUGAAUCGAUAGCCUCCAUGUUUUAGUGUAGGGCCCUGAUCUGGUUGAUGUCAUGAGGUUGCAGGAGGUGGAGAAUACUGUCAAGUUUCCAUUCCCCUGUCAUCUCUAUUACUUAGCUCAAAAACCAAACUAGGGGCAUUAGGAUGCAAUGCCACUAAGGUCUGCAGCCUACCCAUGUUUGGAGGAGGUAGCCAAAUGUCUACCCAUAUUCAGAUUUUGUUUCCAGAUAUCACACUCCACCACCCUGGUUGAGCAGCAAAAUCCCUAGCUUCAAUAAGACUUGACCAACCCCAUGAAGCACGAUACCCUUUUUCAGUAGCCAUGAAAAAUUACAAUUAGGGAAGUAGCGAGCUUUCAACACUUUAGCCCAUAAAGAGUCUGGUUUCAUGAAUUAGGUGUUAUGCCUGUUUGGCAAUGAGCGCUGGAUUUAAAUUGAUGGAGGUAUUGAAAAUUUAAACCUCCCUUGUCUUUAGGAUUACAUACAUGAGCCCAACUCCGCCAAUUAAUCUUUUCUUACUUCCGUAUAACCACACCAGAAGUUCCCUUAUGCCGAAUGGAUAUCAUCACAUACCAAAACAAACCAUAGGAAAGGUAGGAACUGCGGUUGCUACUGAUUUAAUGACUUCUCUUUCCAGCCAUCAAGAUUUCUAGCCACUCUCUCCUUUUCAUACACCAAGGUACUUACCAGGGUUGUGUGUAACAUCAAUGUUUGAUAGUAGACUCAUAAGACGCUGCAUCUGUUCCGGUGUGUUAGGAGAGCAUAAAAUGCUGGAUUUCCCCUUAUUUAAUUAACAGCCCAGAAGCAUAGCAAUACUCAUUGAAAGCUUUUGAUAACCAGUAGCAAUUCUGGAGUGUGGCCUUACAAAGAAUAGAGAAUCAUCUGCGG
This is an RNA transcript of Fragaria vesca subsp. vesca, 1188 nucleotides long. RefSeq lists it as uncharacterized. The transcript has 2 exons. The record is from RefSeq and is a predicted model, not a curated record. NCBI's taxonomy places the organism in Eukaryota, Viridiplantae, Streptophyta, Magnoliopsida, Rosales, Rosaceae.